Molecule: ribosomal RNA, 641 nt
Filed under: Latilactobacillus fuchuensis
Lineage: Bacteria; Bacillati; Bacillota; Bacilli; Lactobacillales; Lactobacillaceae
Description: bacterial SSU rRNA
Rfam family: Bacterial small subunit ribosomal RNA
Source: RNAcentral
GUCGAACGCACUCUGGAACUGAUUGAAGAAGCUUGCUUCUGAUUGAAGCUCAUUUGAGUGAGUGGCGGACGGGUGAGUAACACGUGGGUAACCUGCCCUAAAGUGGGGGAUAACAUUUGGAAACAGAUGCUAAUACCGCAUAAAACCUAGCACCGCAUGGUGCAAGGUUGAAAGAUGGUUUCGGCUAUCACUUUAGGAUGGACCCGCGGUGCAUUAGUUAGUUGGUGAGGUAAAGGCCCACCAAGACUGUGAUGCAUAGCCGACCUGAGAGGGUAAUCGGCCACACUGGGACUGAGACACGGCCCAGACUCCUACGGGAGGCAGCAGUAGGGAAUCUUCCACAAUGGACGAAAGUCUGAUGGAGCAACGCCGCGUGAGUGAAGAAGGUUUUCGGAUCGUAAAACUCUGUUGUUGGAGAAGAAUGUAUCUGAUAGUAACUGAUCAGGUAGUGACGGUAUCCAACCAGAAAGCCACGGCUAACUACGUGCCAGCAGCCGCGGUAAUACGUAGGUGGCAAGCGUUGUCCGGAUUUAUUGGGCGUAAAGCGAGCGCAGGCGGUUUUUUAAGUCUGAUGUGAAAGCCUUCGGCUCAACCGAAGAAGUGCAUCGGAAACUGGGAAACUUGAGUGCAGAAGAGGACAG